GCACCGAAGCUGCGGCAGCGACGCUGAUGCGUUGUUGGGUAGGGGAGCGUUCUGUAAGCCUGCGAAGGUGACCUGUGAGGGUUGCUGGAGGUAUCAGAAGUGCGAAUGCUGACAUAAGUAACGAUAAAGCGGGUGAAAAGCCCGCUCGCCGGAAGACCAAGGGUUCCUGUCCAACGUUAAUCGGGGCAGGGUGAGUCGACCCCUAAGGCGAGGCCGAAAGGCGUAGUUGAUGGGAAACGGGUUAAUAUUCCCGUACUUGGUGUUACUGCGAAGGGGGGACGGAGAAGGCUAUGUUGGCCGGGCGACGGUUGUCCCGGUUUAAGCGUGUAGGUGUGUGUUCCAGGUAAAUCCGGUUCACUUUAACACUGAGGCGUGAUGACGAGGCACUACGGUGCUGA
RNAcentral lists this ribosomal RNA (398 nucleotides) under Salmonella enterica subsp. enterica serovar Typhimurium. RNAcentral's name for it is "bacterial LSU rRNA". It matches the Rfam family "Bacterial large subunit ribosomal RNA", at positions 1191 to 1588 of the family's 2925-position model. The record is from RNAcentral. Lineage: Bacteria; Pseudomonadati; Pseudomonadota; Gammaproteobacteria; Enterobacterales; Enterobacteriaceae.